Alexandromys fortis (reed vole) is the source of this 1208-nucleotide long non-coding RNA. RefSeq lists it as uncharacterized. The record is from RefSeq and is a predicted model, not a curated record. NCBI's taxonomy places the organism in Eukaryota, Metazoa, Chordata, Mammalia, Rodentia, Cricetidae. The transcript is spliced from 5 exons.
CCUACAAACAUUUUUUUUUUCUAAUCAAUGGUUACAGAAUGGAGAGCACCAAAGAAAUAGCGACUUUAUAAUGUGUUGUGGGAUCCUAGAUUAGGUCUUGGAAAAGAAACCGGAACUAAACAGAAGCAGCGCUGGUGCUUGGUGCAGGUCUACCGCUUAGCUAACGGUAGGCAUUGUACCUGCGCUGAUUUCCUGGUUUUGUUCUUUGUACCGGGAUUAUGUAAGAGUGACACACAAGCGGCAGUUGGGUAAAGGGCACACAGGAACAGAAGGCGCUAUUUUUACAAUUUCUGUUGGUCUAAAAUUAGUUCAGAAUUAAAAUGAAAUAACAGACAAAAACACCUGAAAAGACUCUACAAGUGAGCCAGUGUGAAGAAGACACAGAGCCCAGGAGAAGAAAGAACAGGAAUGGCUGUAUAGUCACAAAGGAACAGGAAGCAGACAGCCAGGAGCUAACACAUUACAAAUGAAAAAGUUCCCCCUCGGAUCUUAUGGAAAUCCAGACUAAAACAAGGAUUCUGCCUGAUCUUCAAGCAGACGCAUUUGGCCCUGUACACCAGUCCGCAGAUGAGAAUGAGAAUGCAAGAAGCAAAGACACAAGGCCACUGUAAGGGAUCCAGAAUUACGGGAUGAUUGUCUCUGCCGUCCUAGAUAGUGGAAAACUCCAUAGCUGCACGUUCAGGACCCGCCACUAGGUGGUACACUGCUUCUCCACAGCUCCUUUCGGACAUUUUAAGCUUAGUGAGCUAUGCGUGCUUAACUGAGGAGGAGCCAAUUUCAUCUGUUGUCAUCAUUCUGAAGACUAGAAUUAAAGAAAUGUUUUUAUGAGAUUUAAGUUUUCUGUCUAGACUGAUGAUGGGGGUGCUGGUCAAGAUCCUGGGACUCAGAAGAGGGUCAGAUCAAGAUGUAGAACUCUCAACUACCUCUCCAGCACUUUGUCUGCCUGCAUGUCACCAUGCUUCUUGCCACGAUGAUAAUGGACUAAAUCUCUGAACUGAAGAAGUUAAGGCCAAAAGAAACCAACCUAGAGUCUGUAUGGUGAUGUCAGAGAUCCUGAUCAUGCCUAGCCAAAAAGGAAUGACCAAGUGGUGUUUCCUGAGAGGUCCUGAUCAUGCCUAGUCAAUGAGGGAUGAGCAUGAAAUAUCAACUGUCCAUGGACCAGAAAGCCUGGGUGCUGGAGAGGGUAUGUAAGUUUUCCCCACUGUUAA